GGGCCCGCACAAGUGGUGGAGCAUGUGGUUUAAUUCGAUGCAACGCGAAGAACCUUACCAACCCUUGAAAUCUAGCGAAGUUCACAGAGAUGAGAAUGUGCCUUCGGGAACGCUAUGACAGGUGUUGCAUGGCUGUCGUCAGCUCGUGUCGUGAGAUGUAUGGUUAAGUCCAGUAACGAGCGCAACCCCUAUCCUUAUUUGCCAGCGCGUUAAGGCGGGAACUAUAGGGAGACUGCCGGGUGAAACCCGGAGGAAGGCGGGGACGAGGUCAAGUCAUCAUGGCCCUUAUGGGUUGGGCUACACACGUGCUACAAUGGGAAGUACAGAGGGAUGCGAAAGCGCGAGCUGGAGCCAAACCUUAAACUUUCUAGUCCGGAUUGGAGUCUGCAACUCGACUCCAUGAAGUCGGAAUCACUAGUAAUCGCGAAUC
This 430-nucleotide ribosomal RNA is filed under the name uncultured bacterium. RNAcentral describes it as "bacterial SSU rRNA". It matches the Rfam family "Bacterial small subunit ribosomal RNA", at positions 917 to 1350 of the family's 1533-position model. The record is from RNAcentral.